RNAcentral lists this ribosomal RNA (376 nucleotides) under Amynthas robustus. RNAcentral's name for it is "partial 16S ribosomal RNA". It matches the Rfam family "Bacterial large subunit ribosomal RNA", at positions 1926 to 2541 of the family's 2925-position model. The record is from RNAcentral. Lineage: Eukaryota; Metazoa; Annelida; Clitellata; Crassiclitellata; Megascolecidae.
AACGGCCGCGGUAUCCUAACCGUGCAAAGGUAGCAUAAUCACUUGCCUAUUAAUUGUAGGCUAGAAUGAAAGGGUUAACGAAAUAAAGACUGUCUCAAUUAGCAAACUAAAAAUUAUUCUCUACCUGAAGAAAAGUAGAUAGCCUCGAAGGACAAGAAGACCCUAUAGAGCUUAAUUUUACUUAUAGGCCUGUACUAUAAAAAUAUUCGGUUGGGGCGACCCAGGGCAAAACAAUCACCCGCACCAUAAAAGAUAUAUUAAUCAAGAAAUUGACCCUUUAAAGAUCAUAAGAACAAGCUACCUUAGGGAUAACAGGCUAAUCCCACUCAAGAGUCCUUAUCAACAGUGGGGUUUGGCACCUCGAUGUUGGCUUAGG